This is a long non-coding RNA of Bos taurus (domestic cattle), 1389 nucleotides long. NCBI's taxonomy places the organism in Eukaryota, Metazoa, Chordata, Mammalia, Artiodactyla, Bovidae. The record is from Ensembl.
AGAGCUUUGGCCUCAAAUCAGGGGCCUCCUUCCCCAAGGCUGACUUACCAUCUCUGUGAAUCUGGAUUUUCUCUUCUCUACAAAGCCCCCUUCCCAGCACUUCACAUUACUAUACCUGACAGCAGCUUGAAAAGAAUCAAGAGAUUGGGUUUUAUUCUCAUUUACUUCGUUAUACAAAAUAUCCUAUUCAGCUCUCUGGAAAGCCCAAUGCAAUAAGCCUGCUCCUCUGUCCACAACGCCCCUUCGGAUGGAUGAAGACAACAGCUGUUGUUCUCACAUCUCCUCUUUCCAGCCAAACACUCCCAGAUUUUGCACCCAAUAUGAUUACCAAAUUACUACAGGAUUUAGCCGCCCUUGAGAAAGAAACAAGAAAGAACAAACAAUAGAAGUAGUUCCCUGAUGCCCAGGCUGGUGUCUUGCCUCUGGAUCGGCAGCCAGUACCGCAGUGAACUACCCGCGGAAAACAGUCACAGCCUGUUUGCCUUCCCCAGUCCCUCAGCUCCCACAGCCAAGCUGGACACCAGCUUGGACACUCCAGGGAUCUGUCUCCACCUAAACCUUGUCCCGUCCCUGCCCCUGACUGGCCCUUAUUUGAGCUGGGUCCAUUUUCUUGGCCACAUUGCUGACUGCAGUGCACGCUCAUUCCAGAAAAUGCCGACCUCUGCUCCAAGCCGCCUUGUCGGCAGUUUCCCAGACAUAGCUGGACUGUUUAUUUAUUUAUUUUUGUGUUAGCAGAGAGGAGAAAAUCACAUCGGCCUAAAAUGAAUACUAAUGAAAUGCCUUCGUUAGCUUCCUUUGUGAUCAGAAUGAAAAAUCGGAUUUCCGCAGAAUUGCAAGCCAUAUAUUUCUUUCCCCCAACCUUUUUCUCUUCUUUUUUUUUUUUUUUUUGCCCUUUCCUCUGAUAGGAAGAUUAGGGACAACCAAGAAGGAAAGUUAAAGUCAUUCCAUAAAAGAUAUCUGCAUUUUUAGGGGUGCCUUUGUUGCAGAGGGACAAGGAGGUGCAAUUUCUCCAAACCCAUUUUUCUCAGCCUGUAAAGCAAAUGUACCUAUUUGUCCUCUGCUGCAACAAUGCCAGCUGCAUUCAAUCAACUGAGAAGCUGCAAGCCAUAAACCUUCUUCCCACAGCUACAGGGGUGGGGGUGGGGGGAGGGAGCAAGCAAGAGAGGAGGCAUGCCAUAAAAAUUCAUCAGAAUAAUGUAGGGAUGAGACGCUCUCAGAUCGCCGGCAAGCAAUCAACCAAUCACUCAUCUCGUGGCAUUUACAGCACGUCUCAUUCCCCUGUUCCUUAAGGACAAUUGAUUUUUCCUGAUUCCAUUAGCAUAACGGCGUGGAAAAUGUCUGCAGUGCAAUAUUUCUGGAAAGUUCCAACAAGUAGGCUGGGCACUGGAG